This 72-nucleotide small RNA is filed under the name Pongo abelii (Sumatran orangutan). Lineage: Eukaryota; Metazoa; Chordata; Mammalia; Primates; Hominidae. The record is from RNAcentral.
GCCGGGCGCAGUGGCUCACGCCUGUAAUCCCAGAACAGACCAGCCUGGGCAACAUGGUGAGACCCUGUCUCU